This 500-nucleotide ribosomal RNA is filed under the name uncultured bacterium. Its description in RNAcentral is "partial 16S ribosomal RNA". It matches the Rfam family "Bacterial small subunit ribosomal RNA", at positions 30 to 523 of the family's 1533-position model. The record is from RNAcentral.
AUUGAACGCUGGCGGAAUGCUUUACACAUGCAAGUCGAACGGCAGCACGGACUUCGGUCUGGUGGCGAGUGGCGAACGGGUGAGUAAUGUAUCGGAACGUGCCCAGUCGUGGGGGAUAACGUAGUGAAAAUUACGCUAAUACCGCAUACGAUCUAUGGAUGAAAGCGGGGGAUCGCAAGACCUCUCGCGAUUGGAGCGGCCGAUAUCAGAUUAGGUAGUUGGUGGGGUAAAGGCCCACCAAGCCAACGAUCUGCAGCUGGUCUGAGAGGACGACCUGCCACACUGGAACUGAGACACGGUCCAGACUCCUACGGGAGGCAGCAGUGGGGAAUUUUGGACAAUGGGCGAAAGCCUGAUCCAGCCAUUCCGCGUGCAGGAUGAAGGCCCUUGGGUUGUAAACUGCUUUUGUACAGAACGAAAAGGUUUCUACUAAUACUAGGAGCUCAUGACGGUACUGUGAGAAUAAGCACCGGCUAACUACGUGCCAGCCGCCGCUGUAA